GACGAACGCUGGCGGCGUGCCUAAUACAUGCAAGUAGGACGCACAGUUUAUACCGUAGCUUGCUACACCAUAGACUGUGAGUUGCGAACGGGUGAGUAACGCGUAGGUAACCUGCCUAUUAGAGGGGGAUAACUAUUGGAAACGAUAGCUAAUACCGCAUAACAGUAUGUAACACAUGUUAGAUGCUUGAAAGAUGCAAUUGCAUCGCUAGUAGAUGGACCUGCGUUGUAUUAGCUAGUAGGUAGGGUAAAGGCCUACCUAGGCAACGAUACAUAGCCGACCUGAGAGGGUGAUCGGCCACACUGGGACUGAGACACGGCCCAGACUCCUACGGGAGGCAGCAGUAGGGAAUCUUCGGCAAUGGGGGGAACCCUGACCGAGCAACGCCGCGUGAGUGAAGAAGGUUUUCGGAUCGUAAAGCUCUGUUGUUAAGGAAGAACGAGUGUGAGAAUGGAAAGUUCAU
RNAcentral lists this ribosomal RNA (463 nucleotides) under Streptococcus anginosus. Its description in RNAcentral is "bacterial SSU rRNA". It matches the Rfam family "Bacterial small subunit ribosomal RNA", at positions 28 to 467 of the family's 1533-position model. The record is from RNAcentral. Lineage: Bacteria; Bacillati; Bacillota; Bacilli; Lactobacillales; Streptococcaceae.